GACGAACGCUGGCGGCGUGCCUAACACAUGCAAGUCGAACGGAAAGGCCCUGCUUUUGUGCGGCGCUCGUGUGGCGAGGGGGUGAGUAACACGUGAGUAACCUGUCCUUGACUUUGGGAUAAAUUCAGGAAAAUGGGGCUCAUAUACGAUAGGAGAUCUUGAAGCACGGUGGGGGUUGGUAAGUUUCGGCGGUUGGGGAUGGACUCGCGGCAUCUCAGCUUGUUGGUGGGGUAGGGGCUUACCAAGGCUUUGACGGGUAGCCGGCCUGAGAGGGUGACCGGCCACAUUGGGACUGAGAUACGGCCCAGACUCCUACGGGAGGCAGCAGUGGGGAAUAUUGCACAAUGGGCGGAAGCCUGAUGCAGCAACGCCGCGUGCGGGAUGACGGCCUUCGGGUUGUAAACCGCUUUCGCCUGUGACGAAGCGUGAGUGACGGUAAUGGGUAAAGAAGCACCGGCUAACUACGUG
RNAcentral lists this ribosomal RNA (468 nucleotides) under uncultured bacterium. RNAcentral's name for it is "partial 16S ribosomal RNA". It matches the Rfam family "Bacterial small subunit ribosomal RNA", at positions 28 to 507 of the family's 1533-position model. The record is from RNAcentral.